GCUCCUGUGGUGAAAUGGAUAUCAUAACUGCCUUCGAAGCAGUCGUUGGGGGUUCGAAUCCCUCCGGGAGCA
Molecule: transfer RNA, 72 nt
Filed under: Patescibacteria group bacterium
Lineage: Bacteria
Description: tRNA-Arg
Rfam family: tRNA
About the family: Transfer RNA (tRNA) molecules are approximately 80 nucleotides in length. Their secondary structure includes four short double-helical elements and three loops (D, anti-codon, and T loops). Further hydrogen bonds mediate the characteristic L-shaped molecular structure. tRNAs have two regions of fundamental functional importance: the anti-codon, which is responsible for specific mRNA codon recognition, and the 3' end, to which the tRNAs corresponding amino acid is attached (by aminoacyl-tRNA synthetases). tRNAs cope with the degeneracy of the genetic code in two manners: having more than one tRNA (with a specific anti-codon) for a particular amino acid; and 'wobble' base-pairing, i.e. permitting non-standard base-pairing at the 3rd anti-codon position.
Source: RNAcentral